This 1109-nucleotide long non-coding RNA is filed under the name Brachypodium distachyon (stiff brome). RNAcentral's name for it is "long non-coding RNA (BDIS_LNC001707)". Lineage: Eukaryota; Viridiplantae; Streptophyta; Magnoliopsida; Poales; Poaceae. The record is from RNAcentral.
GCCACCUCUGAUAUUAACAAAUUACCACGUGGCAACUUUAUACAAAAUACGGUGACGAUUUGUGUAGCAAAGGUACCGUAUGGUAAUAUGUAAAAUGAUCACCCAAUAAUGUAUGAAGUUGCCACCCUAUCACUAACAUAUUAACACGUGGCAACUUUAUAUAAAAUACGAUGGCAAUUUGUGUAUCAAAUGUACCAUGCAUCCGAUAAUACGUAAAGUCACCACCUAAUAAUAUGCGAAGUUGCAACCAUAUUAGUAACAAACUACCAUAUCAUAACUUCCGCAUAUAAAAUAUGGUGGCGUUUUGUACAUCAAAGUUAACAUUUAAUAAUUAAGAUGCAUGUCAACUAGGUAAUGCACCGCAUGGCAAUUAGAACCAAACAAUAUGGCAACUACGUAGCACGUGACAUGGCAACUAGGUAGUACGGGAAGCACACGACAUGGCAACUAAGACCAAACAACAACAUGCCAAUUAUGACAUAAAAAUAUGACGGCUAGUUCAACACCAUCUCACAUUGACAUCAUCUUAAUUAGUCAUCAACACCAUGCAUGCAAGGGUUGCCUCAUGUGACAUGGUGAAACUUUUGACGCCAUAUAUUUAGGAAAUCGGGAGAGAUAUUUAUGCAUCUUACAUAAAAAAACGAAAAAAGUAAUUGCUAUCGUAAUGUCAACUUCUUAAAUAAUCUAGUGGUAAUUCAUGCAUCAUGACAUGGUUAAAGGAGUCCAAAAAAUCUAUGCUAAAACAUUAGGAGAUUUUAAAUUUUGAAAAUCAACUCGGUGCGUUUCCCCCCCGGUUGUUGUCCAGCAUCAUCAUUUUUCUUCAAUUCGAGCUUUUAGCAACAAAAAAAAAAUGGCACAUGCAAUCGCACUGGAGAAGCCAGCAUGCAGGAGCAAAAAAAGAAAAAAAGAAAUGCAUGCAACGAGAGCUGCAGGCUGACGUGAGCUCAUUAUAAUUUCCGAAACAGAAAAGGAAAAAAAAUGCCUUAUAUCUGCAUCGCGAAUUUAAUUACGGAGUACAAAGGCAGGGUGGGCUGGCGGACCAAACAAAGCAGGUAACGUAAAUUGUGAUAAUAACGAAAAGAAUCGGUACGAAUUCCCUCGAAAGGAAA